GUCGGAGUGGCGGAACUGGCAGACGCGCACGUUUGAGGGGCGUGUGAGCAAUCAUACGGGUUCAAGUCCCGUCUCCGACACCA
This 83-nucleotide transfer RNA is filed under the name Candidatus Formimonas warabiya. RNAcentral describes it as "Peptococcaceae bacterium DCMF tRNA-Leu". It matches the Rfam family "tRNA". Rfam says of the family: Transfer RNA (tRNA) molecules are approximately 80 nucleotides in length. Lineage: Bacteria; Bacillati; Bacillota; Clostridia; Eubacteriales; Peptococcaceae. The record is from RNAcentral.